AGUCUUGUGGUGAAUUUCAUACUGAAUUGCAAAUUCAGAGGAGCAGAGAGACUCUGUCGAGACUU
Molecule: transfer RNA, 65 nt
Filed under: Cyclopes didactylus (silky anteater)
Lineage: Eukaryota; Metazoa; Chordata; Mammalia; Pilosa; Cyclopedidae
Description: tRNA-Cys
Source: RNAcentral